GAAUCUGGUCACAAACUAACGCCA
RNAcentral lists this non-coding RNA (24 nucleotides) under Arabidopsis thaliana (thale cress). The record is from RNAcentral. Lineage: Eukaryota; Viridiplantae; Streptophyta; Magnoliopsida; Brassicales; Brassicaceae.